UACGUAGGGUGCAAGCGUUAAUCGGAAUUACUGGGCGUAAAGCGUGCGCAGGCGGUUAUGUAAGACAGGUGUGAAAUCCCCGGGCUUAACCUGGGAACUGCAUUUGUGACUGCAUAGCUAGAGUACGGUAGAGGGGGAUGGAAUUCCGCGUGUAGCAGUGAAAUGCGUAGAUAUGCGGAGGAACACCAAUGGCGAAGGCAGCCCCCUGGGUUAACACUGACGCUCAUGCACGAAAGCGUGGGGAGCAAACAGG
This 253-nucleotide ribosomal RNA is filed under the name uncultured bacterium. RNAcentral's name for it is "partial 16S ribosomal RNA". It matches the Rfam family "Bacterial small subunit ribosomal RNA", at positions 524 to 776 of the family's 1533-position model. The record is from RNAcentral.